AAUGAACGUUGGCGGCGUGGAUUAGGCAUGCAAGUCGAGCGGUAGGGAACUGCUCACUUCAAGCUGUUUGGCUAAUAGCUAAAAGCUAGUAGCUAACAGCUUCGAAGUGAGCAGUUCCUGAGAGCGGCGAAAGGGAGAGUAACGCGUAGUUACGUGCCCCGAGGACGGAAUAGCCACGGGAAACGUGUGGGUAAUGCCGGAUGUUGUCUUCGG
RNAcentral lists this ribosomal RNA (213 nucleotides) under uncultured bacterium. RNAcentral's name for it is "partial 16S ribosomal RNA". It matches the Rfam family "Bacterial small subunit ribosomal RNA", at positions 29 to 185 of the family's 1533-position model. The record is from RNAcentral.